RNAcentral lists this ribosomal RNA (424 nucleotides) under uncultured bacterium. Its description in RNAcentral is "bacterial SSU rRNA". It matches the Rfam family "Bacterial small subunit ribosomal RNA", at positions 917 to 1402 of the family's 1533-position model. The record is from RNAcentral.
GACCCCGCACAAGCGGUGGAUCAUGUUGUUUAAUUCGAAGAUACGCGAAAAACCUUACCAGGUCUUGACAUCCCUUGCAAUGCUGUAGAGAUACAGUGGAGGUUAUCAAGGAGACAGGUGGUGCAUGGUUGUCGUCAGCUCGUGUCGUGAGAUGUUGGGUUAAGUCCCGCAACGAGCGCAACCCUUAUUGCUAGUUGCCAUCAUUUAGUUGGGGACUCUAGCGAGACUGCCAGUGAUAAACUGGAGGAAGGUGGGGGAUGACGUCAAAUCAUCAUGCCCCUUAUGACCUGGGCUACAAACGUGAUACAAUGGCUAUUACAGAGGGCCGCAAAGCUGUGAAGUGAAGCUGGAAUCGCUAGUAAUCGCGCAUCAGCCAUGGCGCGGUGAAUACGUUCCCGGGCCUUGUACACACCGCCCGUCACAC